This 524-nucleotide ribosomal RNA is filed under the name uncultured bacterium. RNAcentral's name for it is "partial 16S ribosomal RNA". It matches the Rfam family "Bacterial small subunit ribosomal RNA", at positions 28 to 523 of the family's 1533-position model. The record is from RNAcentral.
GACGAACGCUGGCGGCGUGCCUAAUACAUGCAAGUCGAGCGCAGGAAGCUGACGGAACUCUUCGGAGGGAAGGCAGUGGAAUGAGCGGCGGACGGGUGAGUAACACGUAAGGAACCUGCCUCAAGGAUUGGGAUAACUCCGAGAAAUCGGAGCUAAUACCGGAUAGUUCAACGGACCGCAUGGUCCGCUGAUGAAAGGCGCUUCGGCGUCACCUCGAGAUGGCCUUGCGGUGCAUUAGCUAGUUGGUGGGGUAACGGCCUACCGAGGCGACGAGGCACAGCGACCCUGAGACGGUGAUCGGCCACACUGGGAAUGAGAAACGGCCCAGACUCCUACGGGCGGCAGCAGUAGGGAAUCUUCCACAAUGGACGAAAGUCUGAUGGAGCAACGCCGCGUGAGUGAUGAAGGUUUUCGGAUCGUAAAACUCUGUUGUAAGGGAAGAACACGUACGAGAGGGAAUGCUCGUACCUUGACGGUACCUUACGAGAAAGCCACGGCUAACUACGUGCCAGCAGCCGCCGUAA